GGCCUCGUAGCUCACCUGGUAGAGCGUGCACGUACAAAGCGUAGGCGGCGUCUAUGCGUGGGUUCGAAUCCCACCGAGGCUA
Non-coding RNA from Echinostoma caproni, 82 nucleotides. The record is from Rfam. Lineage: Eukaryota; Metazoa; Platyhelminthes; Trematoda; Plagiorchiida; Echinostomatidae.